This 430-nucleotide ribosomal RNA is filed under the name bacterium. Its description in RNAcentral is "partial 16S ribosomal RNA". It matches the Rfam family "Bacterial small subunit ribosomal RNA", at positions 355 to 776 of the family's 1533-position model. The record is from RNAcentral.
UGGGGAAUAUUGGACAAUGGGCGGAAGCCUGAUCCAGCCAUGCCGCGUGUGUGAAGAAGGCCUUUUGGUUGUAAAGCACUUUAAGCGAGGAGGAGGCUACUUGGAUUAAUACUCUAGGAUAGUGGACGUUACUCGCAGAAUAAGCACCGGCUAACUCUGUGCCAGCAGCCGCGGUAAUACAGAGGGUGCGAGCGUUAAUCGGAUUUACUGGGCGUAAAGCGUGCGUAGGCGGCUUCUUAAGUCGGAUGUGAAAUCCCUGAGCUUAACUUAGGAAUUGCAUUCGAUACUGGGAAGCUAGAGUAUGGGAGAGGAUGGUAGACUUCCAGGUGUAGCGGUGAAAUGCGUAGAGAUCUGGAGGAAUACCGAUGGCGAAGGCAGCCAUCUGGCCUAAUACUGACGCUGAGGUACGAAAGCAUGGGGAGCAAACAGG